UACGUAGGGGGCUAGCGUUGCUCGGAAUCACUGGGCGUAAAGCGCACGUAGGCGGGUUGUUAAGUCAGGGGUGAAAUCCCGGAGCUCAACUCCGGAACUGCCUUUGAUACUGAGGAUCUUGAGUACGGGAGAGGUGAGUGGAACUGCGAGUGUAGAGGUGAAAUUCGUAGAUAUUCGCAAGAACACCAGUGGCGAAGGCGGCUCACUGGCCCGUUACUGACGCUGAGGCACGAAAGCGUGGGGAGCAAACAGG
RNAcentral lists this ribosomal RNA (253 nucleotides) under uncultured bacterium. Its description in RNAcentral is "partial 16S ribosomal RNA". It matches the Rfam family "Bacterial small subunit ribosomal RNA", at positions 524 to 776 of the family's 1533-position model. The record is from RNAcentral.